RNAcentral lists this ribosomal RNA (590 nucleotides) under Dujonia oleophila. RNAcentral describes it as "eukaryotic LSU rRNA". It matches the Rfam family "Eukaryotic large subunit ribosomal RNA", at positions 52 to 656 of the family's 3401-position model. The record is from RNAcentral. Lineage: Eukaryota; Fungi; Ascomycota; Pichiomycetes; Serinales; Debaryomycetaceae.
GGAGGAAAAGAAACCAACAGGGAUUGCCUUAGUAACGGCGAGUGAAGCGGCAAAAGCUCAAAUUUGAAAUCUAGCACUUUCAGUGUUCGAGUUGUAAUUUGAAGAAGGUAACUUUGGAAUUGGCUCUUGUCUAUGUUCCUUGGAACAGGACGUCACAGAGGGUGAGAAUCCCGUGCGAUGAGAUGUCCAAUUCUAUGUAAAGUGCUUUCGAAGAGUCGAGUUGUUUGGGAAUGCAGCUCUAAGUGGGUGGUAAAUUCCAUCUAAAGCUAAAUAUUGGCGAGAGACCGAUAGCGAACAAGUACAGUGAUGGAAAGAUGAAAAGAACUUUGAAAAGAGAGUGAAAAAGUACGUGAAAUUGUUGAAAGGGAAGGGCUUGAGAUCAGACUUGGUAUUUUGUGUUCCUUAUCCUUCUUGGAUUAGGUUCCUCACAGCUUACCGGGCCAGCAUCGGUUUGGAUGGCAGGAUAAUGACAUUGGAAUGUAGCUUUGCUUCGGUGAAGUGUUAUAGACUUUGUUGAUACUGCCUAUCUAGACCGAGGACUGCGUCUUUGACUAGGAUGCUGGCGUAAUGAUCUUAAGCCGCCCGUCUUG